CCUACGGGGGGCUGCAGUGGGGAAUAUUGCACAAUGGGCGCAAGCCUGGUGCAGCCAUGCCGCGUGUGUGAAGAAGGCCUUCGGGUUGUAAAGCACUUUCAGCGGGGAGGAAGGCGUUAGGGUUAAUAACCUUGUCGAUUGACGUUACCCGCAGAAGAAGCACCGGCUAACUCCGUGCCAGCAGCCGCGGUAAUACGGAGGGUGCAAGCGUUAAUCGGAAUUACUGGGCGUAAAGCGCACGCAGGCGGUCUGUCAAGUCGGAUGUGAAAUCCCCGGGCUCAACCUGGGAACUGCAUUCGAAACUGGCAGGCUAGAGUCUUGUAGAGGGGGGUAGAAUUUCAGGUGUAGCGGUGAAAUGCGUAGAGAUCUGGAGGAAUACCGGUGGCGAAGGCGGCCCCCUGGGCCUGUACUGACGCUCAUGCACGAAAGCGUGGGGAGCAAACAGGAUUAGAUACCCUAGUAGUC
This 465-nucleotide ribosomal RNA is filed under the name uncultured Klebsiella sp. RNAcentral's name for it is "bacterial SSU rRNA". It matches the Rfam family "Bacterial small subunit ribosomal RNA", at positions 338 to 795 of the family's 1533-position model. The record is from RNAcentral. Lineage: Bacteria; Pseudomonadati; Pseudomonadota; Gammaproteobacteria; Enterobacterales; Enterobacteriaceae.